This 245-nucleotide ribosomal RNA is filed under the name uncultured bacterium. Its description in RNAcentral is "partial 16S ribosomal RNA". It matches the Rfam family "Bacterial small subunit ribosomal RNA", at positions 15 to 256 of the family's 1533-position model. The record is from RNAcentral.
GAUCCUGGCUCAGGAUGAACGCUAGCGGCAGGCCUAACACAUGCAAGUCGAGGGGCAGCACGGUGUAGCAAUACACUGGUGGCGACCGGCGCACGGGUGCGUAACGCGUAUGCAACCUACCCAUAACAGGGGGAUAACACUGAGAAAUUGGUACUAAUACCCCAUAACAUCAGGACCGGCAUCGGUUCUGGUUGAAAACUCCGGUGGUUAUGGAUGGGCAUGCGUUGUAUUAGCUGGUUGUGAGG